GAUGAAGAACGUAGCGAAAUGCGAUAAGUAAUGUGAAUUGCAGAAUUCCGUGAAUCAUCGAAUCUUUGAACGCACAUUGCGCCCCCUGGCAUUCCGGGGGGCAUGCCUGUCCGAGCGUCAUUUCUGCCCUCCAGCCCGGCUGGGUGUUGGGCGCUGUCCCCCCGGGGACACGCCCCAAAGGCAGUGGCGGCGCCGCGUCGGGUCCUCGAGCGUAUGAGGCUUUGUCACCCGCUCGGGACGGACUCGUCGGCGCUGGUCUUCCUCCAGGCGACCCUUCGGGGCUCGUCUUCCUUCGGUUGACCUCGGAUCAGGUAGGGUUACCCGCUGAACUUAAGCAUAUCAAUAAGCGGAGGA
Molecule: unclassified non-coding RNA, 354 nt
Filed under: soil metagenome
Description: partial contains 5.8S ribosomal RNA, internal transcribed spacer 2, and large subunit ribosomal RNA
Rfam family: 5.8S ribosomal RNA (bases 1-120)
Source: RNAcentral